CCCGCUGAACUUAAGCAUAUCAAUAAGCGGAGGAAAAGAAACUAACAAGGAUUCCCCUAGUAACUGCGAGUGAAGCGGGAAGAGCUCAAAUUUGAAAUCUGGCGGCUUCGCCGUCCGAGUUGUAUUCUGGAGAAGCGUUUUCCGUGCUGGACCGUGUACAAGUCCCUUGGAACAGGGCGUCGUAGAGGGUGAGAAUCCCGUCUUUGACACGGACUGCCAGUGCUCUGUGAUGCGCUCUCGAAGAGUCGAGUUGUUUGGGAAUGCAGCUCAAAAUGGGUGGUAAAUUCCAUCUAAAGCUAAAUAUUGGCGAGAGACCGAUAGCGAACAAGUACCGUGAGGGAAAGAUGAAAAGCACUUUGGAAAGAGAGUGAAACAGUACGUGAAAUUGUUGAAAGGGAAACGCUUGAAGUCAGUCGCGUCGACCGAGACUCAGCCUCGCCUCGGCUUGGUGUACUUCUCGGCUCGACGGGUCAGCAUCGAUUUCGAUCCUCGGAUAAUGGCAAGGGAAAGGUAGCACCUUUUUAGGUGUGUUAUAGUCCUCUGUCGCAUGCGAGGGUCGGGAUCGAGGAACUCAGCACGCACCUCAGGGUGUCGGGGCCUUGGCCCACGUUUACGUGCUUAGGAUGCUGGCGUAAUGGCUUUAAACGACCCGUCUUUGAAACACG
RNAcentral lists this ribosomal RNA (665 nucleotides) under uncultured fungus. RNAcentral describes it as "eukaryotic LSU rRNA". It matches the Rfam family "Eukaryotic large subunit ribosomal RNA", at positions 24 to 663 of the family's 3401-position model. Lineage: Eukaryota; Fungi. The record is from RNAcentral.